UACGAAGGGGGCUAGCGUUGCUCGGAAUCACUGGGCGUAAAGCGCACGUAGGCGGACUCUUAAGUCAGGGGUGAAAUCCUGGAGCUCAACUCCAGAACUGCCUUUGAUACUGGGAGUCUUGAGUCCGGAAGAGGUAAGUGGAACUGCGAGUGUAGAGGUGAAAUUCGUAGAUAUUCGCAAGAACACCAGUGGCGAAGGCGGCUUACUGGUCCGGUACUGACGCUGAGGUGCGAAAGCGUGGGGAGCAAACAGG
Molecule: ribosomal RNA, 253 nt
Filed under: uncultured bacterium
Lineage: Bacteria
Description: partial 16S ribosomal RNA
Rfam family: Bacterial small subunit ribosomal RNA
Source: RNAcentral